AGUUCAAAACCCUCUCUCUAUCUCUCACUCUCUCGGCAGCCGCUUCAGUCUUCCCACCUCUCCAGCUCUCUCUCUAUCUCUAGAUCGCAUCUCUCUCUCGGAAAACCACAGUUCCACACGGCGUCUCUCUCUGUAGACCGCUUGCCUCCGUCGUGCUCAAAAUUGGGUAUGAGUUUGAAGGUUUUCCUCUGCGAUUCUGAGUUUGAGGGGUUUCCAUCUCCGUGAAAGCCGAUCGCCCAAAGAAAGGAGAAAAAAGAAAAGAGGGGUUUUUUUUGGUUUUUUCCGGCUGGCGAUGCUAGGUUUGGGAGAAAGAAAAGAGGGUUUAGGAGAAAGAAAGCUCGUUGGCGAUGCUGAUUUUUUUUUGGCUGGAAAGCUGGUUUUUGGCGAGCGAUGCUGGCCGGUUGUAUGCUCUUCGGCUCCGGUGGGGGGGUGGGUUUGCUGGCGCUGGUUUGUGUUUUGGUUUGCUGUUUUGAUUUCAUUUCGUCAAAAUGAGCUUGGUGAUGUGUCACGACAAGAGUGGAUGCUGCAAAACACCCAUUUUGCAGCAGGACUGCAUAGUUUCUAGAAAAGUUACAAGCUUAAAAGGCAAUUUGGGAAAAAGUUGGAAGCUUUGGGCUUAAAGCACAAUUGGAGAAGAUCUAGAAGAUGUGGUUAAGCAUAACCAAUCAUAAUUGAGGACCUAUAUGAUGUGGUUAAGUUUAAUUAAAUCAAUAAAAUAAUUAAUUCGGAAUUUCUCUAAUUGGAGUAAAAAUCAGAUUUGAUUCAAAUUUGGAUUCUGCACAUGUUUCAGUAUUUUGACCAUAACUUUCUGCUCAAGUAUUGGAUUGAGGUGAAACAAGUGGCUCUCGAAAGCUAACUCAAAAUGCUACAAAUCAUUACGAAAUAGGAUUUUCCUAUUUCAGAUGUAUGUUAUGCCAAAAUUGUCCUGUAAUAUAAGAACGCAAAUCUAAACGAAUCCUAUUCUGAUUUGUACUUGAAUUUAUCCUAAUUGAACUAAGAGAUAAACCUCCGAAUUUCCUAGGAUUACUAGGGUUUCUAGGUCUUUUCUAUGCUCUAUAAAUAGACCCUCUAUUCUACAGAUUCAAUGGUGGAGAAGCAGACACAAGCUCUGAAAAAGAACUGAAGGUUAGAUCAAGAAGAGUUUGAGUUUUUCUUCUCCUCCCCUUUUAUUUUUGUUAUGUAGUUAGUACUUUAAUUAGGGCUAGUUUGAAGCCCUAAUCAUGUUUGUUUAGGAUUACAAUAUUGGCGCAUUUGCCACAAUUAUAUUUUGGGUAUUUAAUUUGAUUAAUUCAUGUUUA
Molecule: long non-coding RNA, 1298 nt
Organism: Corylus avellana
Lineage: Eukaryota; Viridiplantae; Streptophyta; Magnoliopsida; Fagales; Betulaceae
Source: RefSeq, a predicted model, not a curated record